GACGAACGCUGGCGGCGUGCUUAACACAUGCAAGUCGUACGGUAAGGCCCUUUCGGGGGUACACGAGUGGCGAACGGGUGCGUAACACGUGAGUAACCUGCCCACAACUUUGGGAUAACGCUAGGAAACUGGUGCUAAUACUGGAUAUGUGCUCCUGCUGCAUGGUGGGGGUUGGAAAGCUCCGGCGGUUGUGGAUGGACUCGCGGCCUAUCAGCUUGUUGGUGGGGUAGUGGCCUACCAAGGCGGCGACGGGUAGCCGGCCUGAGAGGGUGACCGGCCACAUUGGGACUGAGAUACGGCCCAGACUCCUACGGGAGGCAGCAGUGGGGAAGAUUGCACAAUGGGCGCAAGCCUGAUGCAGCAACGCCGCGUGCGGGAUGACGGCCUUCGGAUUGUAAACCGCUUUCAGCAGGGACGAAGCUUUUUGUGACGGUACCUGCAGAAGAAGCACCGGCUAACUACGUG
This 465-nucleotide ribosomal RNA is filed under the name uncultured bacterium. RNAcentral's name for it is "partial 16S ribosomal RNA". It matches the Rfam family "Bacterial small subunit ribosomal RNA", at positions 28 to 507 of the family's 1533-position model. The record is from RNAcentral.